Long non-coding RNA from Astatotilapia calliptera (eastern happy), 2465 nucleotides. Lineage: Eukaryota; Metazoa; Chordata; Actinopteri; Cichliformes; Cichlidae. The record is from Ensembl.
GCAUAGCAAUGAGCUGAGAAUCAACUGACGCCUAGUGGCAAAAAGGUAGAACUGCAUAUACUGUGUGGUUCCCCUUCUGACAACAAUGUAACACCCUCACACAGUCAGUGUCCUUCCUGCUAUCACAAGAUAUCACACAGACUCGCAGCAAAGGUCUACACUGACAACUCCAGUAUUAAAACAUGCAUAACAGACGCUCCUUUUAUUCUGUGGUAAAGAAAGCAAAUGAGUCUUUCUUUGAUGUUGUGCAUCAAUUGUACAAAAAACAAGCAGCAACAACUCACCUUUGGUAAUCUGCUCUGUGGCCUGAAAAAACAAACAAACAAGUUAACAACAGAUCAAACUUAAAAUGAUAAGAUAAACAUGUAAUGCAUUCCAUGUAAGAUCCAGAAAACAGUAUGCGGUUUUGCAUGAAAUAAUUUUUAACAUUUUUGCUCAUGAUCCACGGAAACAGUAAUGAAGCAAACUAGUCAGGGCAAUGCUAAGGGACAGGUAGUGCUCGUGUAUUUAAACACUAAAUUGAUUAACGCUCGACACAUUUAAGAGCUCCAAACAAGAUUUCGUUUGCCGUGGUUUGACUGCUGGCACUCGCCUCAUUGCAAGACGGUGGAGUUAAGUCCAUCUGACAGAUGAGGACCUGAUUAUUGCUGUGUUAUUUAAUUGAAUAGUGUAAACUGUAUUAUUUAUUAAGUUAAUGAGGGAAAACUAGCCUGUAGCUUGUACUUUUUCCAGCACUAGCAAAAAAAAAAAAAAAAAAAGCUUAAGCACAAGCACAACAGAUCGCUAGAAGAGGACUUAAGGUUAGGGGAUAUGAAUAUAUAAAUGUGCUGACAUAGGAGCUCUAUACACCGAAAACACUUAUAAUGUAGAGCUGUGCCUGGCCUUGUACUACAUAGCAUACUAGCAUCUAAAAUACUACAAAUGCCAACAAGCUUGUUCUUUUCACCAUAGAAUAAUCUGUAAUUAUUUAUGAUUGCUUUAGUCUAUAAAAUGUAGACAUUUUAUCCUAAAAUUAUAAUUAGAACUAACAAAAAAUAUUUUCUGUGUAACCAAAACAAGCAGCACAACAGGUCAAAUGUUGCUUGAGCCCUCGUAAUGGAGACUACAGACAAAGAGGAGUCCCUGCAUUAAACACAAAGUUAACUGGAAACUGGUUAAAAAUAAAACAUUAAUAAUUAUAAAAUCACUCCAAUCCCUACCCAAAAUCCAGCUGACUGCCAGUAACUGCUGCAAUUAGCUGGAGUUUACAGUAUCUUAUCAUAUGAUAAAGAACAGGAAGGAACAAUUACAGCAACAUGAUAAAAGCAUGUGGGUUUCAAAAACACUCUGCAAGCCUACCUUUUUUUGAGCAGCCUCUUUCUUUUUCUUCUCGUCUUGUUUUUUCUUUUUCUUAUCUUCCAUCAAAUGGUUCUCUUCUUGUAUUUUUGCUUCUUUUCACAGCUUAAAUAAAAAGAGAGAUGGAGAGAGAUGGACAAGGUUUUACCCCAAGAACCAGUCAAAGAGAGGAGUACUUUGGCUCAGCAGAGUGAACACAGAUGAAAGUGAUUUCUUGACAUUUUCUUUUCAGCUGAAUGGUUCAUUUUAUCAGUCUUCAAGCUGAAAUCAGUGUGUCAGUAGCUGCGUUUGUAACACGUGACGAUAUGUGGACUAGUAACACACUGAAAUCACUGUCAGCUGAGGUGAAUAGUUUUGAUUAUCGUCAACUCCAAAAUCCAAAUUCAAUCAACAUCUGUUCAGGAUCUUCCAGAACAACCCCAAACCAAUCAGGGUUAACUGCAACCCACAGCACUCAAAAUGAUCCACUGCCAAAGUUCUAAUAGUACCUACUCAGCCCUACCUGGUUUCAGUUGUUUCCUAAUACAAUUGUGAAUGGGGUCAUUACAGCAAUGUGGCUGAAAGAUGUGACGUCAUUUGGAUAGAAAAACAAAACAAAACAAAAAACCACAAAAAAUAAAAAAUAAAAAAUAAAAAUAUGGUGGAUGUCAAGGUUAUAGUAUACCUGCUUCUCAGUUUAUGGCUUUUUCUCAGACUCUGGGACAUUUCUCAUAUACUCGGGUUUGAAAAACUGAAGUUUUGAUUUUCAUGAAGCCACUCUCAUGACUCAUUGAGUGACGCCACUAACUAGCCAAUUGGUGGCGUGCAGUCUGUUAACGUCACAGAACCCCAGCUGAGUAGGUACUAAACAACCACCUGGUACCAAGUACUCCAACCUAAUGUAAAAACCCUAAAAACCAAAAGUCUUGUCAUUUAGCUUCAGCUGACUAAAUGUCAUAAGAUUAUGACAGAAUAAAUCUAAAGUUCAUUCACUUGACUUAAGAGUAAAAGUUUGUUGUGAUUUUAUAGGUAAGAGUUACUCGGCACGUUUACAGAUUGAUAUCAAGAGAAAUAAAACAAAAGCAAAAUGUGUCCAUAUGUCCACUCUUCUCUUCUUUCUCGCAGUUUUAUGAGAGAGCAUGGGAGCUGGC